ACGAACAGUCGGAAACGACUGCUAAUACCGCAUAAGCCCACCGAUCCGGCAUCGGAUUGAGGGAAAAGGGAUUUAUUCGCUUCAGGAUGGACUCGCGUCCAAUUAGCUAGUUGGUGAGGUAACGGCCCACCAAGGCGACGAUUGGUAGCCGGACUGAGAGGUUGAACGGCCACAUUGGGACUGAGACACGGCCCAGACUCCUACGGGAGGCAGCAUG
Molecule: ribosomal RNA, 217 nt
Filed under: uncultured bacterium
Lineage: Bacteria
Description: partial 16S ribosomal RNA
Rfam family: Bacterial small subunit ribosomal RNA
Source: RNAcentral